RNAcentral lists this ribosomal RNA (222 nucleotides) under uncultured bacterium. RNAcentral's name for it is "partial 16S ribosomal RNA". It matches the Rfam family "Bacterial small subunit ribosomal RNA", at positions 524 to 745 of the family's 1533-position model. The record is from RNAcentral.
GACAGAGGGUGCAAACGUUGCUCGGAAUCACUGGGCGUAAAGGGCGUGUAGGCGGGACAGUAAGUCGGGCGUGAAAUCCCUGGGCUCAACCCAGGAACUGCACUCGAAACUACUAUUCUUGAGUGUCGGAGAGGAAAGCGGAAUUCCUGGUGUAGAGGUGAAAUUCGUAGAUAUUCGCAAGAACACCAGUGGCGAAGGCGGCUCACUGGCCCGAUACUGACG